RNAcentral lists this ribosomal RNA (116 nucleotides) under Anaerobacillus isosaccharinicus. The record is from RNAcentral. RNAcentral also lists the same sequence under 2 other names. Lineage: Bacteria; Bacillati; Bacillota; Bacilli; Caryophanales; Bacillaceae.
CUUGGUGGCGAUAGCGAAGAGGUCACACUCGUUCCCAUGCCGAACACGAUCGUUAAGCUCUUCAGCGCCGAUGGUAGUUGGGGGUUUCCCCCUGUGAGAGUAGGACGUUGCCAAGC